CCUGAGGACAAGCACACAGACAUAUAAAACACCGAAGGUCGACAGAGAGCAGCCACCGUGCGGGGCUCAAAGCGCUCAGCGAGAGCAGCUUAGCGCGGAGCCGCAGGAAAACAAAGAGCGCGGCUAUGAAUAGGCUGGAGGUGCAGAAAACACCAGGAGGAACAUCCAGCAGUAGCGAGGCUGCUCAUCCCUGAAGCCAGCAGUGCCGCCGCCGCUGCUGCACUGCGGCUGCUCGCCUCCGCGCUCCCUGGGAGAAGCUCCGGCGGCGGAGAUGCUGGUUCUCUUCCCGCUAAGAACACCUUCCCGGCGGGGAACACCGCAACCACGCUCCUGGGGAAAAGAACCCUUAAUUGAGUUUAUUUACCUAUUUCGACAGGCAUCCAUCUUUACUCGGAGAACAGGCAGGAGUAAUCGAUCUGUGCAAGAGUUCCACCGAUGGCCUCCUCCCGUGCCGCACUCAUUACCCAGCUGCCUUCGCUUUGUUUGCCUUCUUCUUCCGCUCGUUUGAACUCCAAUGAAACAGCAAGGAAAACUA
Fundulus heteroclitus (mummichog) is the source of this 535-nucleotide long non-coding RNA. RefSeq lists it as uncharacterized. The transcript is spliced from 2 exons. The record is from RefSeq and is a predicted model, not a curated record. NCBI's taxonomy places the organism in Eukaryota, Metazoa, Chordata, Actinopteri, Cyprinodontiformes, Fundulidae.